CACAUAUAACCAUUUACAUAUCAUCACAAACAUGCCAAAAAGCACCAUAUAAUCCAAGUACUUAAAAAUGGCCAAAAUAACCAUUCCAAAACAUGUCACCAUACCAUAUACUAUUUAGAACCUAUAAAGUAUGUGUAGGAAGCCCGAUUUGCCCGGGGCCCAAUAACCAAAAUAAAACCAAUUAUUAAACCAAAAGUCCAAAGAAUAAAACCAAAUUAAUAGUCUAUCAUCAAAGUCCAAAUCUUUUAAACAAUCCAAUUUUAACCAGUCCAGGGCCCAAAAUUAUAACCUAAAUUACAAAUGGUCCAUAGCUCAAACCCAAUACAAGCCCAAAUAAACCUAGGCCUAAAAUUACAACGGCCCAAACGGCCCAAAAUACUUUAGAAACAGAAACCCUAGGGUUUCUACCUUUAACGCUGCAGCCAGGCUCCAGCCCACAGCGUCGUACGGACUCCUGGCACCACAGCCACGCCCACGCCUCCGUACGCCAAUGCACAACCCCGUACAUGUGCCACGCACACCCCGUACCUGCAAGCAAAUACAAAAACCACAGCACAGCAAAGAGGGAAAAAACAAAAAGAAAUUGUAUUUUUCUUUUCAUUUUUUUGUUUCGGCUAUAAAAGUCAUGUAGUGAUCAAUGUAUUUUUUUACGCACACUGAAAUACGCAUAUUGAAAUAGAAAGAAAAGCCACCGAUAUUGAAAGGUGAUUUCUGAUUCAAAUUUCUGAGAUUUCUUUUUCUUCUUUGCUCAGUUUCUUUCUUUCUGGAUCUUUUGUUCUUUCGCAUUUGAAUGUAUAAAAGAAAAAGGAAAUGAAACUUACCUUGUAAAUAUGCCAUGAGAUCUCUUCUGCUUCGUUGAAAUUGAGGUACGAGGGGAGAUGAAGGCAGAAAGAGAACCACUUUGAGACUUGAACAGGUUGAUUGUCUUUCAUUGUGGUGGAUUGACAUUGUAGAGGAAAGAUUAGGGUUCGGUUGAAGGAAAUGAAAUGGGGAGGCUAGGGUUUUAGUUCAGCCGAAUGGAAGCAUUGUUUAGCCAUUAUAAAGAACCAAAAACGACGUCGUUUUACCCAAUUUCAAUGGUUUAGAAAUGAUGCCGUAUUAACCAUACCCGACCCAAUCCGGUUCUUCGCCCCUGGGAUACGCGCGUUUCUGUGGAGAGGGGUAAUUACGCGCGAGGUCCUCUCUUUUUGUACGAUUGCUCAAUUGCGCCUAAUGCAUUUCACUUUAUUUCUUUUAAAAUUUGGCCUUUUAAUUUACAUUCGUUUGCAAUCAAGCCUGCGUCACAACGCAUCAUUUUGGAAUCCGGGGUAUUUCCUCGUUUGGUCCCUGAAAAUUCGCAUGUGUGACGCGCUAGUCCUUUUUUUAUUAUUUUUUAUUUUUAUGUCCUACCUUAUUUGUAAAUUAUACCUUUUAUUUUUAAUUAGUUGUAAUUGAG
This 1435-nucleotide long non-coding RNA is filed under the name Gossypium barbadense (sea-island cotton). RNAcentral describes it as "long non-coding RNA (GBAR_LNC012972)". The record is from RNAcentral. Lineage: Eukaryota; Viridiplantae; Streptophyta; Magnoliopsida; Malvales; Malvaceae.